RNAcentral lists this ribosomal RNA (1472 nucleotides) under gut metagenome. RNAcentral's name for it is "bacterial LSU rRNA". It matches the Rfam family "Bacterial large subunit ribosomal RNA", at positions 1028 to 2484 of the family's 2925-position model. The record is from RNAcentral.
CAGACCGCCAGCUAAGGUCCCAAAGUCAUGGUUAAGUGGGAAACGAUGUGGGAAGGCCCAGACAGCCAGGAUGUUGGCUUAGAAGCAGCCAUCAUUUAAAGAAAGCGUAAUAGCUCACUGGUCGAGUCGGCCUGCGCGGAAGAUGUAACGGGGCUAAACCAUGCACCGAAGCUGCGGCAGCGACGCUGAUGCGUUGUUGGGUAGGGGAGCGUUCUGUAAGCCUGCGAAGGUGUGCUGUGAGGCAUGCUGGAGGUAUCAGAAGUGCGAAUGCUGACAUAAGUAACGAUAAAGCGGGUGAAAAGCCCGCUCGCCGGAAGACCAAGGGUUCCUGUCCAACGUUAAUCGGGGCAGGGUGAGUCGACCCCUAAGGCGAGGCCGAAAGGCGUAGUCGAUGGGAAACAGGUUAAUAUUCCUGUACUUGGUGUUACUGCGAAGGGGGGACGGAGAAGGCUAUGUUGGCCGGGCGACGGUUGUCCCGGUUUAAGCGUGUAGGCUGGUUUUCCAGGCAAAUCCGGAAAAUCAAGGCUGAGGCGUGAUGACGAGGCACUACGGUGCUGAAGCAACAAAUGCCCUGCUUCCAGGAAAAGCCUCUAAGCAUCAGGUAACAUCAAAUCGUACCCCAAACCGACACAGGUGGUCAGGUAGAGAAUACCAAGGCGCUUGAGAGAACUCGGGUGAAGGAACUAGGCAAAAUGGUGCCGUAACUUCGGGAGAAGGCACGCUGAUAUGUAGGUGAAGUCCCUUGCGGAUGGAGCUGAAAUCAGUCGAAGAUACCAGCUGGCUGCAACUGUUUAUUAAAAACACAGCACUGUGCAAACACGAAAGUGGACGUAUACGGUGUGACGCCUGCCCGGUGCCGGAAGGUUAAUUGAUGGGGUCAGCGCAAGCGAAGCUCUUGAUCGAAGCCCCGGUAAACGGCGGCCGUAACUAUAACGGUCCUAAGGUAGCGAAAUUCCUUGUCGGGUAAGUUCCGACCUGCACGAAUGGCGUAAUGAUGGCCAGGCUGUCUCCACCCGAGACUCAGUGAAAUUGAACUCGCUGUGAAGAUGCAGUGUACCCGCGGCAAGACGGAAAGACCCCGUGAACCUUUACUAUAGCUUGACACUGAACAUUGAGCCUUGAUGUGUAGGAUAGGUGGGAGGCUUGGAAGUGUGGACGCCAGUCUGCAUGGAGCCGACCUUGAAAUACCACCCUUUAAUGUUUGAUGUUCUAACGUUGACCCGUAAUCCGGGUUGCGGACAGUGUCUGGUGGGUAGUUUGACUGGGGCGGUCUCCUCCUAAAGAGUAACGGAGGAGCACGAAGGUUGGCUAAUCCUGGUCGGACAUCAGGAGGUUAGUGCAAUGGCAUAAGCCAGCUUGACUGCGAGCGUGACGGCGCGAGCAGGUGCGAAAGCAGGUCAUAGUGAUCCGGUGGUUCUGAAUGGAAGGGCCAUCGCUCAACGGAUAAAAGGUACUCCGGGGAUAACAGGCUG